RNAcentral lists this transfer RNA (75 nucleotides) under Habropoda laboriosa. It matches the Rfam family "tRNA". From Rfam's summary of the family: Transfer RNA (tRNA) molecules are approximately 80 nucleotides in length. Their secondary structure includes four short double-helical elements and three loops (D, anti-codon, and T loops). Further hydrogen bonds mediate the characteristic L-shaped molecular structure. tRNAs have two regions of fundamental functional importance: the anti-codon, which is responsible for specific mRNA codon recognition, and the 3' end, to which the tRNAs corresponding amino acid is attached (by aminoacyl-tRNA synthetases). tRNAs cope with the degeneracy of the genetic code in two manners: having more than one tRNA (with a specific anti-codon) for a particular amino acid; and 'wobble' base-pairing, i.e. permitting non-standard base-pairing at the 3rd anti-codon position. The record is from Rfam by way of RNAcentral. Lineage: Eukaryota; Metazoa; Arthropoda; Insecta; Hymenoptera; Apidae.
GCCGAAAUAGCUCAGUUCGGAGAGCGUUAGACUGAAGAUUUUUAAAUGUCCACGGUUCAAUCCCAGGUUUCGGCC